AGAUGUACAGUGGGUGGGCGCUGCUGAUGUGCCAUUAUUCGUCCAGUCAACACCUCGGUGUCUCCACCUUGAGCAUCGCGCUACAUAAUACAGUCCACUGAAGGGGCAGAGGAGGAGCUGAGGGCAAUCCUUUGGCUGCUGGUCACUCACUUGAAGCCCAGGACCUUUCUGGUGCACAAACAGGCCUUCCACAGUACCAACUGCUGGCUCCUCGCCUGCAUUCACCAGCCCCUGUUCAAGAUGCCCUGGGAUCAGUGAAGCUGUGAGAAGAUGGCCCAGCUUGAAGCUAAGAAGCUGGCAGAGAGCCAUGUUAACAUGGAUAGCCAUGUAAAGAGGGAGGUUCAAAAGAAGAAAAGCUGAAGUCCCAGGCUGGGGGGGAAAGGGCCACCUUCCCAGCUCCCGAGAAGAUGGGCAACUGUUAGCAGGCACAGGCUGCUGAGCCCGAGGCCUCCUUCACGCUCCUGCCCAAGUGAACUUUGUGUUGGUGAGUUUAAGUGCAAGCACUCCCAUGAAGUCACCCUCUCUAUGGCACUGCCAUCUUUGAUAAGGACGACUGGUCCCCGUGGUAGCUCACUACUGCCCUUCUGAAGCAUUUUCUGGGCCUUCACGAGUUGCAGCUUUGUCACUGGAGGGCCCGAGCAAUUGGAGAAGCUGGGAAGAAUGCCUUUGCCAGGGUUUUCCUCUCGGCCACCACCUCUAGCAGCUCCACUUCUGGGGUGUGAGUCUUCCAAGGGUGAGAGGUUGCCUUUCUGCUGAGUAUGGGUUGGCGUGUGGGCUAUGAUCAUAUACAGAACAAAAAGUGGAGCCUGGUCCUUUUCCCAGAAUGUGGGCAAAGCCUUCAAUCAAGGCAAGAUCUUAAGUGAGUAUCUCUGGCAGGUGCACAGCUCACCCUUCAGAGAGACAGGGGCCUUUGAAAGGAAACAGAUUAUUGACAAAACACAUACACAUUUGUGUGUGCAAGUGCAUACAUAAUUUAAAUGAAGUUAUGCCACUUGGCAUGAUAAUGAUCCUCCCAAGAGCCAUAGAUUAAAGAAAUCCUGGUGCCAGGGAAAUCUUCCUUUGUGGCGUUGGUUAGAAGAGUCCAAGAGAAAUCCAAACAGAAUGGGCUAUUGCUGCUGCCCUUUGUUGCCUCCCAGAACAUGAAGGUAAGACCCUGUACUUAUAUACAUAUACAUUUGUAACAAUAAGGAGAUCAUGGUGUGGGAGAAGGCGAGGUGCAAGAGGGGGAGGCGCAUGAGCGAUGGAGAUGCAGGUCCUGUGUAUGAAGUUCUCAAAAUUAUAUAUAAUUAUUAAAUUAGGAAAAAAAACCCAAAUCGAAGGUUGGUAGUGAUACCGAGGCAGCACAGAAAGUGCACUAUGAGGACUAGUUCAACAAGUGAUUGAAAGUAUUCUCCAAGAUUACAGGAGAAAUUAUGAAUAAUUGGGGGAAGUUGUUACAGCUGAGAAAGAAGUCGUGACACUCUAGACACAGACGCAGGCUCCUUGAUCUGUUUGUUUCAGACCAUCAGUCUUGUUGGCCCCUUGGGCUCAGCAGGUGAUCCCUAGUGAGCAGUAAACAUUUAUUGGCUGAGUAACACUGAUGGUCCUUUCUACUCAGGGAGGAACAGAAGCUGGGAGCAAACCCCAAAUCUGACUUUCAGAAAUGAGUCCUCCAGGGGACAGAAGGCAGUGGGUAGGGGAGGUGCACCCUAGCUGGCAAUCCUGGGAAAGAAAACACAGAGCAUGCAAAAACCCCUUGCUCCUUCCUUAACCUUGCCAGGGCAGGAGUUCCGCACCUGCCUUAGAGGCGCGCUUCCUCGCUGCAAAGAGGUCACAUGAUUCCAGCACGCCCGGUCAGGAGGGUCCUGGUUGGCUAGCCUGUCUUAUUGGCUUAGUUCUGGACAUGUGACCAAUCAGGUCCACAGAUGAGUACUUAACAGUUGGUGCGAGGUGGUUGAGACAGUUGGUGGCGGUUUGUUAGGGACUACAGAAACGGUUCGCCAAGGCGGUGUGUGACGCCAUGAUUUCCAGAGACGUGCUCCCGGUCUACUCGACACCCGGGUACAGUUUGCUCUGCUGCUGUCUUCAGUCAGUAAUCUUCCUUUCAUGGGGCCCUCACCUUGCUGUCUCUGCAUGUCCGAACCGCUUUGGUUUGGGUUUCAGGACCCAAGGCAAUAGCAGCUUUACAGAGGUGCAGACUGAGAAACAUGACCCUGACGACAGGAUUAAAGUCAGCACUCUUAGGUGCUGGACCACCCAGACAUCAUCAGGCUGUUCUGCAUCAUACUGCUGGGGAGAUGUGUGGUAAAAGAGAAAGGGCCCGUCUCUGUGGUUGUUGAAACGGCGAGGAGCAGAGAUCAGCCUAGCAUGGCUGGCUCCCAGGGGAAGGAGCCAGGCCAGAGCACCA
Molecule: non-coding RNA, 2386 nt
Organism: Myodes glareolus (Bank vole)
Lineage: Eukaryota; Metazoa; Chordata; Mammalia; Rodentia; Cricetidae
Source: RefSeq, a predicted model, not a curated record